This 253-nucleotide ribosomal RNA is filed under the name uncultured bacterium. RNAcentral's name for it is "partial 16S ribosomal RNA". It matches the Rfam family "Bacterial small subunit ribosomal RNA", at positions 524 to 776 of the family's 1533-position model. The record is from RNAcentral.
UACAUGUGGGGCAAGCGUUGUUCGGAAUUACUGGGUUUAAAGGGUGCGUAGGCGGCCAAGUAAGUCAGGAGUGAAAGUUUGCGGCUCAACCGUAAAAUUGCUUUUGAUACUGCUUAGCUAGAAUCAGGAUGAGGUUAGCGGAAUGUGGCAUGUAGCGGUGAAAUGCAUAGAUAUGCCAUAGAACACCAAUUGCGAAGGCAGCUGGCUAGACCUGUAUUGACGCUGAGGCACGAAAGCGUGGGGAGCGAACAGG